RNAcentral lists this ribosomal RNA (604 nucleotides) under Riccia bullosa. Its description in RNAcentral is "eukaryotic LSU rRNA". It matches the Rfam family "Eukaryotic large subunit ribosomal RNA", at positions 42 to 640 of the family's 3401-position model. Lineage: Eukaryota; Viridiplantae; Streptophyta; Marchantiopsida; Marchantiales; Ricciaceae. The record is from RNAcentral.
AUCACUAAGCGGAGGAAAAGAAACUAACGAGGAUUCCCUUAGUAGCGGCGAGCGAACCGGGAAGAGCCCAGCUUGAAAAUCGCGCCGUUCCGCGGACGCGUUGUAGUCUGGAGAAGCGUCCUCUGCAGCGGACCCGGCCUAAGUUCCCUGGAAAGGGGCGUCGGAGAGGGUGAGAACCCCGUCGGGCCGGGACCCUGCUGCUCCACGAGGCGCUGUCGACGAGUCGGGCUGUUUGGGAAUGCAGCCCUAAGCGGGAGGUAAAUUCCUUCCAAGGCUAAAUAUCGGCGGGAGACCGAUAGCGAACAAGUACCGCGAGGGAAAGAUGAAAAGGACUUUGAAAAGAGAGUUAAAAAGUGCUUGAAAUUGCUGGGAGGGAAGCGAAUGGAGGCCUCGUGUGCGCCCCGGUCGGAUGCGGAACGGCGUGAAGCUGGUCCGGCCUCGACGCGGGGCGUUGGUCGGCGUGGGCUUCCCCGGCGGGAUAAAAGUCGGCCUUCGCGGCCGGCCGAUGCCGUCGGGGAGGCCGAGGAACCUUUGGAAGCGCGCGCCUCCGGGGGCGGGCCCUUCGGGGGCACCCGCGCGCUCGGGACGUCGGCGCAGUGGGCUU